Molecule: ribosomal RNA, 403 nt
Filed under: uncultured prokaryote
Also listed under: 1 other name
Description: bacterial SSU rRNA
Rfam family: Bacterial small subunit ribosomal RNA
Source: RNAcentral
UGGGGAAUAUUGCACAAUGGGGGAAACCCUGAUGCAGCGACGCCGCGUGAGGGAAGAAGGUUUUCGGAUUGUAAACCUCUGUCUUUGGUGACGAUAAUGACGGUAGCCAAAGAGGAAGCUACGGCUAACUACGUGCCAGCAGCCGCGGUAAUACGUAGGUGGCAAGCGUUGUCCGGAAUUACUGGGUGUAAAGGGAGCGUAGGCGGGAAGACAAGUUGAAUGUUUAAACUAUCGGCUUAACCGGUAGUCGCGUUCAAAACUGUUUUUCUUGAGUGAAGUAGAGGCAGGCGGAAUUCCUAGUGUAGCGGUGAAAUGCGUAGAUAUUAGGAGGAACACCAGUGGCGAAGGCGGCCUGCUGGGCUUUAACUGACGCUGAGGCUCGAAAGCGUGGGUAGCAAACAGG